This is a long non-coding RNA of Neoarius graeffei (lesser salmon catfish), 3634 nucleotides long. RefSeq lists it as uncharacterized. The record is from RefSeq and is a predicted model, not a curated record. NCBI's taxonomy places the organism in Eukaryota, Metazoa, Chordata, Actinopteri, Siluriformes, Ariidae. The transcript is spliced from 2 exons.
UCCGAAUCGUUUGUGAAUCUCAUCACUGUUAGAAAUCCAAGAGAAGAGAUCCUCUUCCCUUAACAUCAUCAGAGGAAAAAUCUGCUUCUUAAUCAAUUAGUUUCAGCGUUUGUCUCUUCUCGAGCAAGGCGUGGUGAGACACUUUACACAAGAUUUACGUAAGAUUAAUGAAUUGAUUGUUUCUUCUGUAAUGUCACAGGUUCCUGCUCAUCAUUGCUGUUUUUCCAUUAAUGAAAAUUAAUGAUCUCUGUUCUGCCUUUUUCCACGCACAUGAGGAGAUAGCGUUUGGACUCAAGGUUUCAUUUGACUCUCCUGCUGUUUGUUUGUUUUUUCAGCUGUAAUUCAUAACGUGCUCUGUGACCUUCUCCCUCCCUCAGGACUCUGUGGUCUGUGUGUUCUGGUAUCUGCUGAAAUCACCAGAAAUCUGCCAAGACACUGACACUUGCGCCUGCUUCAACAUCUGCCGCAUAAGGGCUUUAAGGUUUCCAGAACCAAGCUGCAAUAUUGCAUGGACACUUAAGUAUUUGAACUUUUGCACUGAUGUCUUUUCUGGGUCAGAAAAUGGAUCCCUGACUGCUCUUUAUAUGACAAGCUUCUCCGUUCCGCAAUCUCUCAUCACGAUCCACUGCAACAUCCUUUGACCUGGACUGACGCUAUGGUGGUCGCUUAUCACUCCCUCAGAAGCACCCUUUGUUCCGCCCCUGGGUUACCUGCUCACUUCAAGCCCUUCCACCUCUAUGCCUGUGAACACCAGGGCACAGCCUCUGGGGAGCGUGGGGGGGGAAUGCAUCAUUGUGCGUUUUUAUCCAAAACAUUAGACAUUGUUGCUCAAGGCUUACUUGCGUGUCUGGGAGCUGUCUCCACAUGUGCUUUGAUGGUUUGAUGGUUGCAAAAUUGACAGACCCAUUAAAUUAAUUAAUCAGUAAUUUAAUAGAUAAUUAAAUUAACAUAUGACUAUUUAUUCUCUGUUCCACUAACAAUCUCGAAAUUCGUGUCACAUCCUCUUUUGAUAAUGUAGGUCGCGCUCUCGCACGCCUCCUUAAUUCUCGGGAUGAUACUUGAGAUGGCAUUGAUAUUGUCUGUCUAAAAAUCGCACAUACUACUAGUAUCAGGUCUGAUCUCUUCCCUCCAGCCCUCUAGGGAUGGGGGAAGUACUCUUUGUUGAUGGUUAUUCUGUGGUUAUUCUGUGUGUUCAACCAAUAUCAGCCUGAUAUUCUGCAUGAGACAUACGCUCUUUCUUUCUCAUUUGAUUUUUGUCAUCUUGAUUGUGGACAAAUUCUCUAAAUGGGUAGAAGUUUUUCCCUGUUCUCGAGAGAACACGAAGGUAGUUACUCGUUUUGAUACCUAGUUAUAAUAAUAAUAAUGAUACAUUUUAUUUAUAAGUGCCUUUCAAGGUACCUAAGGACACUGGACAGUAAAAUAAGAAAAACAAACAAUAAAAGCAGAACAAUAAAAUAACAACAAUAAAAUAAUAAGAAAUCAAUAAUAAUAAUAAUUAUUAUUAUAGUUAUGGGGUUUCAAAUGCCAUAGACUCAGACAAGGGUACCCGUUUUACCUCAAAAGUCACACAAAACCUUUGUAAGUAUCUCUAAACUAAACUGGUGUUUUCACAUUCCUAAAUCCUCUGGUAUCGUAGAACGUACUAAUCGAACAUUGAAAGACAAAUUAAUUAAGGUCAUGCAGGACACAGGUUUGGUUCUGUAAUCCAUAAUUCAUUCUGGCUGAAAUUCGUAUGACACCAAGAAAUUAUCUUUGGAAUAAUAUUCUUCCCCUGGAAGAAGGGAACUCCAGCUCCGGGUACCUCUGAUUUGAAAAUGCAUAUGGAUGAGUAUUCUGCAGCCCUUAUAGAUAAGUUGCAUAAAAUUUGUACCAAGGUCAAUAAUACAAUAUCUCCACCACACACCCCUUUCACGUGGGAGACAGGUGCUGGUGUGACUUUUUAAAGUAAUGAUUUUGACAAUUGGGAAAACAAUAUAAUGGGCCUGCAGAGAUAGUCGCCAUUACUUUUGCUGCUGUUUUAACUGAUCUUUUUCCACAGUGGAUCCAUGCCAUGCGAUUGAAGAAGGCUCCAUAACAAAGUUGUGUUACAAUGACAAGUUUGCUACUAACGUUUUCUCUGUGUCCCGAGAAUCUUUGUUCUCUCUCUCUGUCUCUCUAUUUCUGAGCUCUACACAGAUUCGACUGAGAAUCCUCAAGACGUUGUGAACAAAGAGGGGAAGAGAUCUUGCGCCCCAUUUGGAACCAAUCAUCCUCACUACAACCAUGACAGUCCUCAUCACGGGUUUCAUGACUUCAUUGUUGCUCGGGGCAGGGCUACCCGCCCGAGCCUUCGUGACUGCUUCAUCUUUGCUCGGGGCAGGGUUACCCGCCCGAGCCUUCUGGACCACUUCAUUGCUUGGAGCAGGGUUACCCGCUCGAGCUGGACUUCGAGACAACAUCUUCUGGACUAACUUCGCUAACUGGACUGCACAAGCACACACCACACGAAUGUGUUAUGUCUUUCAUCUGAUGCCGUUUUCUACUAUUAUUACACAUCUCUAUGCUCUGAAACUCUGUAUUCUUACAGGACUCUGUUCUCACUAUAGGUCGAUAUGCCCUAUAAUUCCCUUAUAGUACCCUUCUAAUUUCAUUUUUCCUCACUGUUUUAGAACAAAUUACUCUGAAGGAAGUAGCGUGUAUUUGAGUUUCUCUAAGCUCCGGUGAGGUGGGACGAGGGCUGAUCGGGCAUGCCCGCCCUCUGAGCACCAAUAUACGUCAAGAAGGGCAAAGAUUAACUCAAGAUUAAUUCUCGAUGUAAUCACAUAUAUGAUCAUGAGGUGAUAAUAUAUGGUCCUAGGAUUUGAUAAUAAUGAUACUAUUAUCAAAGGGGGGGAUUGUUAGGUUUAUAUAAGUAUUAUUCUUGACCAAGAAGGCAGUAAUUUAUUAAAAUGGUGAUUCAUGGUAAUUUAUUAAAAUUAAGGAUUAAAUUUAAGGUUCAGUUAAAAAUGACCUUCUGUCUUGGCUGGACAUUGUUUGGGAACAUUUUGUUUAUGAAAUGUGUAUUUUUGAUCAGAGAUGUGUCUGAACGACGCCAAGGUCUGUUUUGAUGUCAGAUCGACCCACACACACUUUAAUGUUGGAUGUAAUGGUAGCCUUAUUGCUGAACAAAGAGUUAAGACUUUAUAUUUUAGAGCUUUUUAAGAUCCUUUAUUAUUUUGGACUAUUGCAUAUACUAUGGCAGUGAUUUUAAACUGUUCCUGUGUAGCCUGACCUUCGUCCAGUGGAGAAGAACACUUUUGUUAGACCAAACAUAGUCUUUGUUUAAAACAUUGUCGUAAAAACAUCUCGCGUGCUUUGACGUGCGUAAAUGAAAUUGCUGAAUUGCUGAAAUAUUAUUUUGCUUAUGAUUGAAGGUUUCAUUCACACACACACACAUACAUAUGGAAUUAAGAUGUGAUUUGCUGACCUAGCACAUAGACACAUAUCAAAAUGAUGUCACUCACUCACACCCUCCCAUAGAGACACACACACAUACAAACACACACACAUUUGAUAGACACAAUAGCCGUUUGGAGAGAUUAUGAUUUGUUAUAAAAGGUGUUUGUAAUCUUUCAUCUUUGGCGAGAAUACUGUGAAUAAACAGUAGUUAAACCGA